AAUACAGGAUGCCCAGUGAAAUUUAAAAUUCAGGUAAGCAAUGAAACAUAUGUUAGCAUAAGUAUAUCUCAGGCAAUAUUUGGGACAUACUUAUACUAAAAGAAGUUCUUUGUCAUUUAUCUGCAAUUCAAAUUUCACUGGACAUCCUGUAUUUU
RNAcentral lists this microRNA precursor (155 nucleotides) under Tursiops truncatus (common bottlenose dolphin). RNAcentral describes it as "miRNA (ENSTTRG00000023978.1)". The stretch from base 50 to 101 matches the Rfam family "mir-1302 microRNA precursor family". Lineage: Eukaryota; Metazoa; Chordata; Mammalia; Artiodactyla; Delphinidae. The record is from RNAcentral.